This 385-nucleotide ribosomal RNA is filed under the name uncultured bacterium. Its description in RNAcentral is "partial 16S ribosomal RNA". The stretch from base 1 to 277 matches the Rfam family "Bacterial small subunit ribosomal RNA", at positions 1259 to 1533 of the family's 1533-position model. The record is from RNAcentral.
GAAAACAAGCAAAUCUCAUAAACCAAAUCUCAGUUCGGAUUGAAGUCUGCAACUCGACUUCAUGAAGUCGGAAUCGCUAGUAAUCGCAGAUCAGCAUGCUGCGGUGAAUACGUUCCCGGGCCUUGUACACACCGCCCGUCACACCACGAAAGUCUGCAAUGCUAGAAAUCGUGAAGCUAACUCGCAAGAGGGGCUAACGCUUAAGGUGUUGCCGGUAAUUGGGGUGAAGUCGUAACAAGGUAGCUGUAGGGGAACCUGCGGCUGGAUCACCUCCUUUUAAGGGAGUAUAAAUAAAAUCUAUAAAUCUAUUGUCUGCUGUUUAGUUUUGAAAAACUGGUCAAUAGGCUAUUCGGGCCUAUAGCUCAGGUGGUUAGAGCACACGCCU